CCUACGGGAGGCAGCAGUGGGGAAUCUUGCACAAUGGAGGAAACUCUGAUGCAGCGAUGCCGCGUGAGUGAAGAAGGCCUUUGGGUUGUAAAGCUCUUUUGUAGGGGAAGAUAAUGACUGUACCCUAAGAAUAAGGUCCGGCUAACUUCGUGCCAGCAGCCGCGGUAAUACGAAGGGACCUAGCGUAGUUCGGAAUUACUGGGCGUAAAGCGCGCGUAGGCCGUUGAGUUAGUUAAUUGUGAAAUCCCAAAGCUUAACUUUGGAACUGCAAUUAAAACUGCUCGACUAGAGUUUGAUAGAGGAAAGCGGAAUACAUAGUGUAGAGGUGAAAUUCGUAGAUAUUAUGUAGAACACCAGUUGCGAAGGCGGCUUUCUGGAUCAACACUGACGCUGAGGCGCGAAAGUAUGGGUAGCAAAGAGGAUUAGAUACCCUCGUAGUCCAUACCAUAAACGAUGAUUGCUAGAUGUUGGAAAUUUAUUUUCAGUAUCGCAGCUAACGCAUUAAGCAAUCCGCCUGGGGAGUACGACCGCAAGGUUAAACUCAAAGGAUUGAACGGNUGNGAGUGCGAGCGCACGAGGAGAGG
RNAcentral lists this ribosomal RNA (584 nucleotides) under uncultured bacterium. RNAcentral's name for it is "bacterial SSU rRNA". It matches the Rfam family "Bacterial small subunit ribosomal RNA", at positions 338 to 943 of the family's 1533-position model. The record is from RNAcentral.